Molecule: ribosomal RNA, 301 nt
Filed under: uncultured bacterium
Lineage: Bacteria
Description: partial 16S ribosomal RNA
Rfam family: Bacterial small subunit ribosomal RNA
Source: RNAcentral
CAGUAGCCGCGGUAAUACGUAGGAGGCAAGCGUUGUCCGGAAUUAUUGGGCGUAAAGGGCUCGCAGGCGGUUUCUUAAGUCUGAUGUGAAAGCCCCCGGCUCAACCGGGGAGGGUCAUUGGAAACUGGGAAACUUGAGUGCAGAAGAGGAGAGUGGAAUUCCACGUGUAGCGGUGAAAUGCGUAGAGAUGUGGAGGAACACCAGUGGCGAAGGCGACUCUCUGGUCUGUAACUGACGCUGAGGAGCGAAAGCGUGGGGAGCGAACAGGAUUAGAUACCCCAGUAGUCCCUGUCUCUUAUAC